This 336-nucleotide ribosomal RNA is filed under the name Pratylenchus penetrans. RNAcentral's name for it is "partial large subunit ribosomal RNA". It matches the Rfam family "Eukaryotic large subunit ribosomal RNA", at positions 655 to 965 of the family's 3401-position model. Lineage: Eukaryota; Metazoa; Nematoda; Chromadorea; Rhabditida; Pratylenchidae. The record is from RNAcentral.
UGAAACACGGACCAAGGAGUUUAUCGUGUGCGCAAGUCAUUGGGUGUUGAAAACUCAAAGGCGCAAUGAAAGUAAAGAAUCCGCAAGGAUACGACGUGUGAUCUGAGCAAUCACGAUUGCCUGGAGCAACAUGGCCCCAUUCUGGUCGCUUGCGACGGGGUGGAGGAAGAGCGUACGCGGUGAGACCCGAAAGAUGGUGAACUAUUCCUGAGCAGGAUGAAGCCAGAGGAAACUCUGGUGGAAGUCCGAAGCGAUUCUGACGUGCAAAUCGAUCGUCUGACUUGGGUAUAGGGGCGAAAGACUAAUCGAACCAUCUAGUAGCUGGUUCCUUCCGAA